AAAAGGGGAGCUGAACGUGAUUUGGCUGAGAACAGACUGUAUUGUCUGGACCCGUAACCUGAUUUGGAUAAUGCCAACGUAGGGAUAUACUGAUG
RNAcentral lists this non-coding RNA (95 nucleotides) under bovine gut metagenome. The record is from RNAcentral.